Non-coding RNA from Parasteatoda tepidariorum (common house spider), 225 nucleotides. The record is from RefSeq and is a predicted model, not a curated record. Lineage: Eukaryota; Metazoa; Arthropoda; Arachnida; Araneae; Theridiidae.
UUCUUCGAAUCUCUGUUUUGUUGUUGUGAGUUUUUUUUUAUGAGUUGGUAGACUCUUGUAGUUAGUCUAGUUUUAGAUACAAAGAAGGAUUAUGAUGUGUCUUAGAAGUCUGCUGUUAUUUUUACAGAACUUUACAGAUCCAAGAAGCUACCUGAAAAUAGAUGUUGUUGGUCAUCAUUAUCCGAUUUAGAUUGGACUUUGCAUUGAGUACUUCAUCGUCAUUAA